GACGAACCGUGCGAACGUUGUUCGGAAUCACUGGGCUUAAAGGGCGCGUAGGCGGGCAUUCAAGUCGGUGGUGAAAUCCUCCAGCUUAACUGGAGAAGAGCUGUCGAUACUGGAUGUCUCGAGGGGGUGCAGGGGGUCUGCGGAACUUCGGGGUGGAGCGGUGAAAUGCGUAGAGAUCCGAAGGAACGCCGGUGGCGAAAGCGGCGGACUGGGCACCUUCUGA
RNAcentral lists this ribosomal RNA (223 nucleotides) under uncultured bacterium. RNAcentral's name for it is "partial 16S ribosomal RNA". It matches the Rfam family "Bacterial small subunit ribosomal RNA", at positions 524 to 743 of the family's 1533-position model. The record is from RNAcentral.